Molecule: ribosomal RNA, 381 nt
Filed under: uncultured Spirochaeta sp.
Lineage: Bacteria; Pseudomonadati; Spirochaetota; Spirochaetia; Spirochaetales; Spirochaetaceae
Description: bacterial SSU rRNA
Rfam family: Bacterial small subunit ribosomal RNA
Source: RNAcentral
GUUGUAGAGAUACAGCAGCCGCUUGCGGUCUGUAUACAGGUGCUGCAUGGCUGUCGUCAGCUCGUGCUGUGAAGUGUGGGUUAAGUCCCGCAACGAGCGCAACCCCUAUCAUCUGUUGCCAGCAUUUAAGGUGGGGACUCAGAUGAGACUGCCGGUGACAAACCGGAGGAAGUGGGGACGACGUCAAGUCAUCAUGGCCCUUAUGUCCUGGGCUACACACGUGCUACAAUGGCCGGUACAGAGUGAAGCGAAACCGCGAGGUGAAGCAAAACGCAGAAAGCCGGUCUCAGUACGGAUUGGAGUCUGAAACUCGACUUCAUGAAGUUGGAAUCGCUAGUAAUCGCGCAUCAGCAUGGCGCGGUGAAUACGUUCCCGGGCCUU